Molecule: ribosomal RNA, 1537 nt
Filed under: Klebsiella pneumoniae
Lineage: Bacteria; Pseudomonadati; Pseudomonadota; Gammaproteobacteria; Enterobacterales; Enterobacteriaceae
Description: bacterial SSU rRNA
Rfam family: Bacterial small subunit ribosomal RNA
Source: RNAcentral
UUGAAGAGUUUGAUCAUGGCUCAGAUUGAACGCUGGCGGCAGGCCUAACACAUGCAAGUCGAGCGGUAGCACAGAGAGCUUGCUCUCGGGUGACGAGCGGCGGACGGGUGAGUAAUGUCUGGGAAACUGCCUGAUGGAGGGGGAUAACUACUGGAAACGGUAGCUAAUACCGCAUAACGUCGCAAGACCAAAGUGGGGGACCUUCGGGCCUCAUGCCAUCAGAUGUGCCCAGAUGGGAUUAGCUAGUAGGUGGGGUAACGGCUCACCUAGGCGACGAUCCCUAGCUGGUCUGAGAGGAUGACCAGCCACACUGGAACUGAGACACGGUCCAGACUCCUACGGGAGGCAGCAGUGGGGAAUAUUGCACAAUGGGCGCAAGCCUGAUGCAGCCAUGCCGCGUGUGUGAAGAAGGCCUUCGGGUUGUAAAGCACUUUCAGCGGGGAGGAAGGCGAUAAGGUUAAUAACCUUGUCGAUUGACGUUACCCGCAGAAGAAGCACCGGCUAACUCCGUGCCAGCAGCCGCGGUAAUACGGAGGGUGCAAGCGUUAAUCGGAAUUACUGGGCGUAAAGCGCACGCAGGCGGUCUGUCAAGUCGGAUGUGAAAUCCCCGGGCUCAACCUGGGAACUGCAUUCGAAACUGGCAGGCUAGAGUCUUGUAGAGGGGGGUAGAAUUCCAGGUGUAGCGGUGAAAUGCGUAGAGAUCUGGAGGAAUACCGGUGGCGAAGGCGGCCCCCUGGACAAAGACUGACGCUCAGGUGCGAAAGCGUGGGGAGCAAACAGGAUUAGAUACCCUGGUAGUCCACGCCGUAAACGAUGUCGAUUUGGAGGUUGUGCCCUUGAGGCGUGGCUUCCGGAGCUAACGCGUUAAAUCGACCGCCUGGGGAGUACGGCCGCAAGGUUAAAACUCAAAUGAAUUGACGGGGGCCCGCACAAGCGGUGGAGCAUGUGGUUUAAUUCGAUGCAACGCGAAGAACCUUACCUUGGUCUUGACAUCCACAGAACUUUCCAGAGAUGGAUUGGUGCCUUCGGGAACUGUGAGACAGGUGCUGCAUGGCUGUCGUCAGCUCGUGUUGUGAAAUGUUGGGUUAAGUCCCGCAACGAGCGCAACCCUUAUCCUUUGUUGCCAGCGGUUAGGCCGGGAACUCAAAGGAGACUGCCAGUGAUAAACUGGAGGAAGGUGGGGAUGACGUCAAGUCAUCAUGGCCCUUACGACCAGGGCUACACACGUGCUACAAUGGCAUAUACAAAGAGAAGCGACCUCGCGAGAGCAAGCGGACCUCAUAAAGUAUGUCGUAGUCCGGAUUGGAGUCUGCAACUCGACUCCAUGAAGUCGGAAUCGCUAGUAAUCGUAGAUCAGAAUGCUACGGUGAAUACGUUCCCGGGCCUUGUACACACCGCCCGUCACACCAUGGGAGUGGGUUGCAAAAGAAGUAGGUAGCUUAACCUUCGGGAGGGCGCUUACCACUUUGUGAUUCAUGACUGGGGUGAAGUCGUAACAAGGUAACCGUAGGGGAACCUGCGGUUGGAUCACCUCCUU